GCCGAUUUGCUCAGUCGGUAGAGCAACGCACUCGUAACGCGUAGGUCGUAGGUUCGAUUCCUGCAAUCGGCA
Molecule: transfer RNA, 72 nt
Filed under: Streptococcus infantarius subsp. infantarius
Lineage: Bacteria; Bacillati; Bacillota; Bacilli; Lactobacillales; Streptococcaceae
Description: tRNA-Thr
Rfam family: tRNA
About the family: Transfer RNA (tRNA) molecules are approximately 80 nucleotides in length.
Source: RNAcentral